Molecule: long non-coding RNA, 36804 nt
Filed under: Solanum tuberosum (potato)
Lineage: Eukaryota; Viridiplantae; Streptophyta; Magnoliopsida; Solanales; Solanaceae
Description: long non-coding RNA (STUB_LNC004357)
Source: RNAcentral
GAUAGUCUUAAGAAGAUCCAUUGUGUUGUACUCUUGAGAAACACAUAUCCAAGCACGUGUAGGGAAGCUUGAGACUAUAUUAGGACUUUUGUAGAGGUUUCUAGCAAGAGUGGUCUUGCCUAAUCCGCCCAUGCCAUGAAUGGAGAGGACACUUCGGCGAGGCUCUUCUUUGAGAAGUUGAGCUAGCAAUGUUUGUACAACAUCCUGAAGUCCAACAAAAAUGUAAUCCUGGUCAUCCACAUAUGAAGUAGUUCUUCUCAAUGUUCUUACCAUGGCAGAUUGAUUACUUGGUCCUUCUCCGGCAUUAAUGAUAUUUGUAAUACCAUAAGUCUCUCGUUUGCGAGAGAUAUCCAUGAUUUGUUGCUUGAGUGAUUGAAUCUCCUCUGCGACAUUGUAGAAUUUCUUCUCCUUCCAACAGAUGCAAGCACAAACCUUAAGACGACUAGCACCUUUACCAGCCUCGAAGCUGUAAGUCUCGAGUAUAGCAACAGCGUCAUUAGCAAUAGAGUUGAUCUCAAACACCCAUUGUUGAAUUCUUUGAUCUCCACUUUGUUUUUGUUCUGCAUCUAUUAGGAAUGACUGCAUGAAGAGUAGCUCAUUUUUCAUCCAUCUAAUUUCAUCUCUGAGACUUCUACGCAGGGAAACUUUCUGUAUUAGGAAAUCACCCAAUUUUUGAACUGCAAAUGACACAAAGGCAUCAGCCAUAUUUUUUAUUGAAAAAAAAGGUAAAGUGUGUAUGGAAGCAGUAGAUUGAGAGUUUGAUAAGUGAUUGAGAGAUGAAUAAUAUUGUUAUGAUGGAAUUGAGUAUUUAAAGCUUAAAAAAACAGACAGGGGAAAAAGUGUUAAAGUAGAAAGAUGAUAGAGUUAAGGUUAAUGGUAAAGAAAAGUAUAUAUUCUCUACUAACUGCAAGCCAAGAAUUUUAAAUUGCAUCACACAAGUUAUGCUCAGUGUACUGGCCAAGCCAAAAGUUUCGAUAACAACGUUCAAGAUUUAUUAUAUAUGUAUGAAAAAUAAUUUUUGACUUAUAUAUUUUUUACAAUUUUCUAUAUACAUUGUAUAAUUUUUCGACGAAGAAUGUCUGACAGAACACCCUGAGCUAUAUGUGGCUACGCCACUGCUUCAUUUGCACAAGUUGUGUGUUAAUAUAUACAAGAAAUUAUGUCCCAAGGCACAAGUCCCCAGGGUAAACAACAACAACAGGGUCUGGAGAGGACAAAAUGUAUGCAGACCGUACCACUACCACGUGGAGGUAAAGGUUGUUUCAGAAAGGCCUUCGGCAAUAAGUCCCCUAAGGCAAAUAUCACGAUAUUUCUGUACUUUAUACUUUAUUUAAAAAGACAUACUAUCAUAUUAGAUUAGAUUUUAUUAUUCAGAAGAGUUGGUUUAAUUGUUCCUCCACCUAAAUCACUUUUAGCUAAUUAAUUAUAUUCCAUUUGCCUUAUUUUAUCGAAACAUGUUUGGCUAGGUACGCCAUUUUAAUCGGGACUAGAAGAUUUUAAAAUUUUCAUGGUAUCAAUGUGGUCAUAAAAUCAUAUUAUUAAUAGUAAAUUUAGUAUGUUCAAAAUUCAUCUUUAAAUAAUAGAUACCUUUCUUUUCUUUUUAACUAUCCUUGUUAGGGGAAUCUAUAGGAAAAAAUAUGAUAAACAUGACUUCUCAAUUUGAAGAUUCGUUUUGUAACUUUGAAGAGAAGAAAUAAAAUAUUUGAUAAGUCAGCACAAAUUAAUUCGAAUUCAGCCUUGGAGGUUAUUCCAUAAAGAUUUUGUAAGAGCUUGAAGGUCAAAAUCUCAAAAUUGAUUUCCUGAAAACGAAUUUUGUUUUGAAUUGGUGAUUUCUCAAAAGAAUUGAAACUUCGACAAGACUAAUAAUAUAAAAUUUGAGAUUAUUUGGGUAAAAUUAGAAUUAGUUUUGGACUAAAGUUUUACUUAUAGUUCGUAGAAAUUUAAAAUUACAUUCGAAUUAUAUAAAAAAUCAUAUGAUAAUCAUAUAAUGACGGAUGAGUUAUAUGUAAAUUGUUUUUUAAGUUUGGUAUUUUAUUGUAGUUGUAUUUUUUUUGGGUCUCCCACUCAGUUUCUGAUACCCGCUAGAGCUUGACUAUCUCAAAUUCGCGCCGCGUAGGGCCAAUUGAGGGGAAGCGCUCUCUAACAAGCAAAUUCCAUAGUACUCUUUAAUAUAAAAAUAUUUUUUUCUUUUACUAAUUAAUUCAAAGAAGUAGAAUACUCUAUGGUUAAUUCUUGCAUAAAAAUUGGGAAAAGGCACAAGUACCCCCCUAGACUAUGACCAAAAUCCCAGAAACACACUUUAACUAAACCAAGGUUCUAUUACCCUCUGAACUUAGUUUUUUGUAAUUUUGUACACCUUUUGUCUUACGUGGCACACUCCGUGACUCCACACAAUUGAGGUGCGUGGGAGAUAUUUGGAUGCCACGUAAGCCAAAAAGGUGCACUAAAUUACAAAAAAAAAUGAGUUCAGGGAUUAAUAGGACUUUAGUUUAGUUAAGAUGUGUCUCUGAAAUUUCGGUCAUAGUCUAGGGGGUACUUGUACCUUUUCCCAAUUUUUAUGCAAGAAUUAACCAUACUCACACCAACUGUGGAUGUACGUUUUAGGUACAGGUAAAUCUAUUUAAUAUGUACACAUUAUAAAUAUAGAACUCAGUAAGUCCAAAAGGCAUUAGUUUAGAAUCUAUAAACAUCAAAUCCUGGAUCCGCUUUUGUUAAUACGUACCACUUUCAACUCCACAUCAAAAGAUGGCAAAAUUAAUACUGCAGAAACUUAAUAUAGCAAUCAAUCAACUACAACUCGACUACAAACUAACUGGGGAUCGGUAGUGUGGGUCCUCUAUACCCACAUAUAUAAAGGAUUCAGCAUAAUUAGCUAACAUCUGACCUACUGCAGCCCUCCCCCUUUAUCCGGACUUUGGACGGACCAUGCCUUCCAUACCUUAGUGCAGUUAUAUUCAGCAUAAAUAAGCAAAUAAAAACUACUAUCCCAACACUCUAUUUCUCAUCAAAUAUGACACAAUCAGGUGAUUCAACCCAAUAAAAAAGUUGAAUCAAUAAUCUUUUUCUUCCGUAAUCAGUUAACCCAACAGAGAACAACGAAUUCAUCAGACGUAGCGUUUCAAACGGACAAACAAGCUAGUCAAAGUUGUCCUUCCAAAUAAUCUAAUCUGCUCCAUUCUAGCCAAUAAAGUUUCCUCUUUUAUCAAGUCAUCAAUUUCAUAGCUUCUAUUUAAUUCAAAACUAGUUCGAGUCUAUUACAUGAAUCCUCUACAACAUACACCUGUCAAUUUCGGAAAUUUUUUUAUUUAUAUACGCGUAUAUUUAUUUUGAGAAACUGACAUAAAGUAGAAUAUAAUUAAUCGUUGACCAUGAGGAGCUGGUACAAGUUAGAGAAAUCACUCACGAGAUCAGGGUUUGAAUCCAGCUAGUGCCUUAUUUCGUUGUUUUUAUUUUAAGGUUAAUUUAGAGCUUAUAUUUGAUCAUUAGUAACCAAUCGAAUACUAAAUUAUCUGUUAAUUAUUAUUGAAAAUUUUGCUAAAGGCCUAAAUUAAGAUAAUAUUGAUGCACCUCGAUAAUAUUGGAGUAUCCUAAGUCUUCAAGUUGUGUGUUCAGAGAAGAAAUUAUGUCCCCCAGGGCAAACAACAACAAGAAGUAGGGUCUGGAGAGAGCAAAAUGUAUGCAAACCGUACCACUACCUCGUGAAGGUAAAGGUUGUUUCAGAAAGGCCCUCGGUAAUAUGUCCCCUGGGGCAAAUAUCACGAUAUUUCUGUACUUUAUUUAAUAAGACAUACUAUCAUAUUAGAUUAAAUUUUUAAUCAGGACUAGAAGAUUUUUAAAAUACAUGGUUUUUAAAUUUUCAUGGUAUCAAUGAGGUUAUAAAAUCAUAUUAUAAAUAGUAAAAUGAGAAAUUUUAAAUUUAGUAUGUUCAAAUUUCAUCCUUAAAUACUAGAUACCUUUCUUUUCUUUUUAAGAAUCCUUGUUAGGGGAAUCUAUAGGAAAAAAUAUGAUGAACAUGACUUCUCAAUUUGAAGAUGCGUUUUGUAACUUUGAAGAGAAGAAAUAAAAUAUUCGAUAAUUCAGCACAAAUUAAUUCGAAUUCAGCCUUGGAGGUUAUUCCAUAAAGGUUUUGUAAAAGCUUGAAGGUCAAGAUCUCAAAAUUGAUUUCCUGAAAACGAAUUUUGUUUUGAAUUGAUAAUUUCUCAAAAGAACUGAAACGUUGACGAGACUAAUAACAUAAAAUUUGACAUUAUUUGGGUAAAAUUUGAAUUUGUUUUGGACUGAAUUUUUAAUUAUAGUUGGUUGAAAUUUGUUUUGGUAAUAUUAUCCAUGCUUAAUUCUGGAAGAUUGACUAAAUCAACAGGGUCAACCUCUUUCGACUGAUCACAACAGAUGCCACCAACAACUUGAAGAUAAGUGAGCUUGAAUCUACGUACCAAAGGUUCUGGAUACCGAGCAACUAAAUGUCUUAGAUUUAUUAGCUCAGCUGUUUCACUGGGUGGUAAUUGGUAAAAUCCCAAUCAUGGCCAAAUCGAAUGAUUACAAGCCGUUCUUCUUCAGCAAGAAUACGACAUUUUUAUCUAUUGCUGAUUUGAUUUUUUAUGCUGAAAUAAAAAACAGUGAAGAAGCUGACAGAGGGUGAGAAACAGAGUGCUGAGAAGAACGGCUUAGGGGUACUCCUGCAAGGGUCUCGAAUGUGCUAGUACCCCCUCUUAGGGCUCGUUUUGUCUAAACACGUUAUCUCGAAAUUAAUUAUACGGAUUGUAACUUAAUGUGAGAUAUAAAUAAUAUCACAAUCUCGAAAUAACUAAAUAUCCUACCAAACGAGUCCUUAAGGAUGGUCUGCAAGGAGGAAUAAAGGAAAACUAAUUUCGAUUAUUUGAUUAGAUAUUUAGAUGUAUGUGUUAGGUAGUCUAAAGAUUAUUUAUACCAAUAGAUGUACUAUAUGCAAAAAGUAGACCCACAUGGUGCACGUGCACCCGUUAAUUUCAAUUAUAUCUAUAUAUAUAUAUAUAUUGAGAAACUAACAGAAAGUAGAAUAUAAUUAACACUGAUCCCAUACGAUGCAUAAAAGUGUCCUUGAGUCGCUGGUACGAGCUAGAGAAAUUACUGGCGAGACUAGAGUUUGAAUUCAGGUAGUGCCCUAUUUCACUGUUUUUAUUUUAAGUUCAACUUAAAGCUUAUAUUUGAGUCAUUAGUAAAAAAAAGGGAGGUGGAGUUGUGGUAAUAAUGAUGAGAUAAUUUAUUUUAUAUAUAUGAUAGGGUGACACGAAAUAACUAAUUCCAUAAGAUUAUUCCUAUAUUUAUAGAAUAACGUUGUCUAUCACAUGCAUCCUCAUAUCAACAAACGUUCAAGGGCCAUUGUAGAAGGUGUAUGAUUGUACAUGGAGUAUGCUUUUAUUUCUUUAUGUCCUUUAAUAACGACGUUAUAUCCUUUUUCCUUAAUUAUAUGUAUUGGACUUGGUAGCUAAUAUAAAAAAUUGUGCUUUGUGUUAUUGUGUAAGUUGAAGGCAAAGUGUAAUUUCUUUAUAAUAUAUAAUUGAGGAGAUGGAUCUUCAAAUAUAAACUGAAAACACUUUUCAACUUAAUUAACAUUACAAAAUUAAAUUAAGGACAUCAAACUCAACAACACAAUUAUUUCAACACUAAACCAAUGGCCACAAAAGAAGAACAAUGAAUGGAAAGAAAUGAAAAAAACCAUCGAACAAGGACUAAAUCUCAAUAAAUCGUCACAACAAAAGAUAUGCAGGCUCUAGUCUAUUAGCUGAACGAGUAUUGUUUGUAUCUCAUCGAACAAUAUAUCAACAAAUUCGACUUGACCUUCAAUACUACCAUCACAAGUAGUCAUCAAAUAUACUCUUGCAAGCCUAACACAAGCUGUAUCACAAUCUGAAUAUUCUACAUUUGAACUACAAGUAGCAUUGACCAUAAGCUAAAGCAUCAUUAGGAUAAGGAGAUGUUAUGUAAUAAUCGAUCAUAACCUUGUUUUGGUGUCUCAUUACUUAAUUCUAUAAGAACAUAUAUAAGACAAACUAUCUGAAAAUGGACCAUUUUUGUCAUACAUUUCACCAUUGCAUGUAUGGUCCAAUAAUUUAGACUCUGGAAAUUCACUUAUCACAAAACAAUUAAAGUAACCCAUGACUAAAAUUAUAAUUAGGAAUGUGGUUAACACUCUAAUUCUCAAAAUUGAACUCAUAGCUAUAUGUAUAUAUUUUCUAUUACAUUUGUGUUACAAAUAAUUGAGUUUAGUACUUUAAUGUCCUUUUUUGUUUAAAUAGAUUUAUCCAUCCUUUGAUUUCUCCACCAAUGAAAAUUAAGUAUUCCAUAAUUUAUAUUUUAUAAAUUAUAUAUGUUGCCGGCAAAUAAACCACUACUAUUACUUUGCUUUGAUAUUAUAAAUCCUAAUGCUUGGUAUAAUUUUUGCAAAGAGAGAUUAUUCAUCAUACAAAGAUAGAUCCAUUAAAAGCAAUUGAUGAUUAAUAGUACUGAUCAUGCAAUGUUGUUAUUAUUAUUGGAUAAUUUGGAUUUCUAAUCAUUUAGAAUUAUUGGGUUUUAAAAUUAACAAUUUAUAUGUAUUAUAUAUAGGAUUUAGAUCAAAGCUACUGAAUUCAGCUGAAUCCAUAACUGAAAAACUAGCUCCACCCUUGCUAGUUGGAUCAGGUACUCUAUAGUGAUUAUUGUGCAUUCGAUUUUACAAUUUGAUUGUUUUUGUUAUUUAGUUUCGAUCAUUCGAUUUUCAAACAUGAUGGCUCAACGUGAUUAUUGUUCCCUUCGUCCUAAUUUUUAUGAAAGUAUAAAUUAUAGUUUGACUCUAAAAAAGGAAAUCAUGACAAUUAAAAGUGAACGGAGGGAGGAGUAUAUAUUAUCUUCCUUUUUUUAUUCUUUAUUUUAAAGUUAGUUAUAAAAACUCGUUCAUGGGUUAUGUUUGGAUGGUUAAAUUUCGAAUCCAAAGUUAAAAAAACAUCACUUUUUCUUUCAAAAUACAUAAAGGGCCAUUCAAUUUUUAGUUUAAUCAAAAGGGACACUUCGCUAGAGAAGAAGCGAGAUAUGUUUAUGCUAUAACUAUCAUUAACGGCAUAAAAAAAUUGAUCACCUCGCUGACUUAUGAGCACUUUUCUCUUUUAUUUUAUCUUUUUUCUCGCUACUUAUGAGUGAUUUGCUCUCUAUUUUUCCCCUCAAAAAUCAUUAUUAGAAAAAGAAAGUGUUUUUAAAAAAAAGAAAUAAUAUAUUUAAUUGAAAAAAAGACAUUUUUGACCUAUUAAGUACAACAAUAAGAGCAUUUUUAGACCAAACUAGUGAAGACAAUCAUAUUUUUUUAACCCCUUUUCUGUUAAUUAAAUCAUCACAAAAUCCCCCCCAAAAAAAAAAAGUUCUCUUUCAACACAUUUUUCCACACACUAACAAAAACAGAAAGAAAUCAAACAUUCAAAAACUAAAAAACAUUCAAAUAGGUUUCCAUUAUCAAAUAAAACCUCGCAUAUGGUUCUAAAGAUCCACUGCAUUUAAUUUCUCUUCAACAUAUUUCAUUCUCUCUGGAAUCUCCUUCAGUUUUGAGCAGCGACUGAUAGCAAGACUUUUAAUGAGAGGCAUGGCACUUGUGGCUAAAUGCCAUCUUUCUAGGUUUGAAAGAUGAUAAAGAUGAAGGAACUCGAGUUGACGGAAGCUGCUAUCAAUGCACAUUUUUUUUUUUCCAUUAUAAGCAUCUUCUAACAUGAGAUCUCUUAGAUUUGGCAACAUUCCCAAAGUAGGCAUCGGAUCUUCCAUUGAUUUUGACUUCCUAAGAACCAUCAUUGUGAUGGAAUUUGGAAACAGAGGCAGUUUCUCUAUUCUCCCUUUUAACAACAAUUUCUGGAGCUUUUGACAAGAACUAAGAAAUUCAAGGGAUGAGAAUGAUUCAUCCAAUUUACAAAACAAUGUGAGACUACUAAGGUUUUUCAAGCUGCUAAUGUUGUUCAGGGAGUAAGAUUUGGUAAUUUGAUCCAUGCUUAAUUCUCGAAGAUUGACUAAAUCAACAGGGUCAACAUCUUUCCACUGAUCACAACGAACGUCUUUAAGAACUUCCAGACUAGUGAGUUUGCUUAUACGUUUCAGAGGUUUUGAAUAUGAAGCAACUAAAUGUCUUAGAUUUAUCAGGUCAACUGUCUCGUGGGGUAGUUCGCAAGAGAAUUCCCCUUGAUCGACAACAAGUGUCUGUAGAUUCUUGAGGUUGCCAAUGGAAGAGGGAACAUUCCAGGUACGUCUCAAUCUUAAGAACUUGAGGUGGUACAAACUUCCUAUGGCAUAAGGUACUGAUACAGAAGAACGACUGUAAACAGACAUAUCCAAGUACAACACAUAUAGAUGCUGGAACAUAAUUGAGCUCAACAUAUGAAUAUUUAGAUCGAAGACCAUAAUUGACCUCAAGUUUAAGUUAGAAAGAUCAAGUGAGGAGUACCUUUCUCCUUGACUAUGAAUGACAUGUCUGAUACAUAAAGAGGAUAUGGAGUGGCUUUUUGGAUCAUAAAUGUCAAAGAAGUUUACCUCCAAUGCCUUUUGUAUUGCAAGAUCAUGGAGUAAAUCAUGAACCCUACACUCAGUAACUUUUUCCCAAAAUGUUCGUGCCACUUGAACCAAGCUUCGUCUUAUCAGCUCAUUCAAGAAGCCUUCAGCGACAUCCUCCAUUCUUUCUUCUCCUCUGGGUAUGAAACCCUCUGCCAUCCACAACCAUAUUAUGUUAUCAGCCUUGACCGCUUGAUCUUCUGGAAAAAUACCAAAGUAGAGAAAACACUGCUUGAGCGCAGUUGACAAAUCAUUGUAGCUUAAGGAUAGUAUAUUAGAGAUUUCAAUAGAUUUAUCUUCUUUAAUGUUCUUCCAAAGGUGAUCUUUCACCUUUUGCCAUUCGUUUUGCCCCUUUUUAUGCGAAAGUAGUCCGCUCAAUACAACAAUUGCAAGAGGUAAGCCUCUACACUUUUCCACCAUAUCCUUAGCUAGACUUUCCAUUGCUGGAACCAUUGCUCGAACAUCAAGUAGUUUCCUUACAAAAGAGAUCCCAACUUUCUUCUUGGCUUAGGAAACGAAGUUUAUGAACAAAACCUCUUUUGUCUGCUCUUUCAGCGACAUCCUCUUUGCGCGUGGUAAUAAUGACUCUGCUGCCAUUCUUGCUAUCCGGGAAUGCUCUUUUCAAACUCUCCCAUGCUUCUUUCUGCCAGACAUCAUCAACCACCACAAGGUAUUUACGUUCUUUCAAUAGAUCACGAAGGUGAACUUCUAGAUCUCCUUCUGUCAUAGUUUCCAACAAUCCUAGAGUUCCCUUGGUGCGACCUUGGAUGGAUUUUAUGAUAGUCUUAAGAAGAUCCAUUGUGUUGUACUCUUGAGAAACACAUAUCCAAGCGCGUGUAGGGAAGCUUGAGACUAUAUUGGGACUGUUGUAGAGGUUUCUCGCAAGAGUAGUCUUGCCCAAUCCGCCCAUGCCAUGAAUGGAGAGGACGUUUCGACGAGGCUCUGCUUUGAGAAGUUGAGCUAGCAAUGUUUGUACAACAUCCUGAAAGCCAACAAAAAUGUGAUCCUCAUCGACAUAUGAGGUUGUUCUCCUCAAUGUUCUAACUUGAUUGCUUGGCCCUUCUCCAGCAUUAUUAUUGAUAUUUGUAAUACCAUAUGUCUCUCGCCUGCGAGAAAUAUCUAUGAUUCGCUGCUUGAGUGAUUGAAUCUCCUCUGCGACAUUGUAGAAUUUCUUCUCCUUCCUACAUAUGCAAGCGCAAGCCUUGAGACGACUAGCACCUUUACCAGCCUCGAAACUGUAUGUCUCGAGUAUAGCGACAGCAUCAUUCGCAACAGAAUUGAUUUCAAACACCCAUUGUUGAACUCUAUGAUCUCCACUUUGCUUUAGUUCUGCAUCUCUGAGGAAAGACUGUAUGAAGAGUAGCUCAGUUUUCAGCCAUCUAAUUUCAUCUCUGAGAUUUGUUCUCAGUGAAACUUGUUGUAUUAGGAAAUCACCCAAUAUUUGAACUGCAAAUGACACAAAGGCAUCAGCCAUCUUUAGGAAUAUGGAAAUUAAUAUUUUUUGUAAAAGGUAAACUGUGUAUGGAAUUAAUAUUGAGAGUUUGAUAACUGAUGAAUAAUGUUAUAAUGGAAUUCAGUAUUUAAAGCUUUAAAAAUCCGACAGAGGAAAAAGUCUAAAAGUAGAAAGAUGAUAGAUUUGAGGUUAAUGGUAAAGAAAAGUAUAUAUUUUCUACUAACUGCAAGCUAAGAAUUUAAAAUUGCAUGACACAAGUUAUGCUCUAAGCCAUAACUUCAAUGUAGUAGCGAAGCCAAAAGUUUCGCUAAUGAUGUUCAGAAUUUAAUAUAUAUGUAUGAAAAAUAAUUUUUGACUUAUAUAUUUUAUACAAUUUUCUAUAUAUAGAUAAUAUAAUUUUUCAACGAAGGGUGUCCGACUGGACACUCUGAGCUAUAUGUGUCACAAGUUGUGUUUUAAGACAAGAAAUUAUGUCCCAAGGCACAAGUCCCCUAGGGCAAACAACAACCACAACAACAUACACAAUGAAAUUUUACAAGUGGGGUUUGGAGAGGGCAAAAUGUUUGCAGACUGUACCAUUACCUCGUGCAGAUAGAAGGUUUGUUUGAGAAAGACAAACAUUAUUUUAAAAGUUCUGUCCAGUGAAUUGUUUCCCGUUUAUAUACCAAGCAACUCUAAUCAGAUAAAUUCUUCUCAUAUAGUUCAAUGACUAAUAGAUCCUCACUAAUGUGUUUAGAAUGAGUUCACAAAGUUUUGAUCCAAGAAGCAACAAUAACAUGCAUAUCAAAAUCAAAAUUGUUACUUCAAUUCAAUCGAUUUAUAAGUUCAUAAUAAAGUUAUAUCUAACAUCCACUAAAUUACACAUAAAUUAAGUUAAAAUACAUUAAAGUUGAAUGUAGUGAUAAAAAUUCAUGCCAUUGAUAUUCAAGGAGUAUUUAGUAUGCAUGACUUAACAGCGAUUGUAAUCUGUCAUCAUUAUUAAGCAUCAAGACAAUAACUUGUGGCGAUAUUCUAGAAAUUAUUCUAUGAUUUAGAAAAUAAAAAAUACUACUAGAGUGGUUUUUAAAAAAGUUUUAAAUUUUUUUCUUAUAAUUUAUCCAAAUCAAAACAAUAUCCUUCUUAAUUCAUCAAUCCAAAACAAACUUAAAAAAUAAGAUACAAUAAAUACAAAAAACUAUUAGGUUUUAAAAAAAAAAAAAAAUCAAAUAAAAUUGGGGUUCUUUUGACUUGGAUAAGUUAUGGAAAAUCUAGAAGAGGUGGGGUUUUUAUUUCAUCCAAUAAAAAAAUGACACAUAAUAAAUAUUUUAAAAAAACAAAAUUAAGCGAGGUUAGUUAGUUUUAAGAGUAUAUGUGAGCCAAAAAGGUAAAUGGAAGGGUAUCUUUAGACCAAAAUAUGAGUAGAAGGAUAAUUUUAGACACAAAGAUGGAUGAAGAGUAUUUUUAAACCUUUUCUUAUAGUUCAGGGAUAUUUUUGGCCCUUUUCCGUUAAAUAAUAGAUACCUUUCUUUUCUUUUUAAGUUUCCUUGUUUGGGGAAUCUAUAGGAAGAAAUGAUGAGCAUGACUUCUCAAUUUUUCGAAGAUGCAUUUUGUAACUUUGAAGAGAUGAAAGUAAAAUAUUCGAAUUCAGCCUCGGAGGUUAUUCCAUAAAGAUUUUGUAUUAUCUUGAAGGUCAACUUUUCAAAAUUGAUUUGCUAAAAACGAAUUUUGUUUUAAAUUGUUGAUUUCUCAAAAGAACUGGAACGUCAAGAAGACUAAUAAUAUAAAAUUUGAGAUUAUUCGGGAAAAAUUUGAAUUUUUCCAUAUCGAGAGUUCAAACUCGAGAUCUGGGAGGAACAUUGUUAAGAAUUCAUCACCAACUUAAUUCUUUACUUAAGAUAAAUCAAGAAAAAUCUAGAAUAUUCCGGAGGUGUAAAGAAUUGAAGGAAGAUCUCUAGAAUGAGUAUUCUAGAAAGAAUAGUCUAGAAAUGUUCUAGAAAGAAUAGUUCUAGAAAAAGAUAGUUAGAAAUAUUCUAGAAUAGAGUAGUAUGUAUCUCUCUAGAUUCUUCCAUCACCUCCUAUAAAUAGAGGUGGUCCAUUUGAGUUGUAUGCAACUAAGCAACUAAGAAAGAAAGCAAUCAAGAAACCAAGCAAAAAAAAAGAGUAAGAAAUAAGAGAGCAAACAAGAGUGAGUGCUCAAGUAAAGAGUGUUGCUGAAGCAAGCAACAAGUGUGAUCAAGAUUGUAAGACCGAAGCUGGUCCUUACUUUGAUAUAAUAAAAUUCAAGUUGUGAGAAAUCGAUAGUGCCCGUCGUCUCCAAAACAAUAAUAUUCAACAAACAUAUCCUUUGGUGGUAUUGUAGUUUUAUUUAGUUUGAUAUGAAUGUUGUGUAUAAUGUUGUUGUAGUUGUAUUAGAUUUUCAGUAACUAGCAUGAGCUUCAUACAAAGUUUGUAUAAUAAUUAUAUACAUAUUUCAUACCAAAAUUCUCCUAUACGUUUCAUAAAUAUGAAUGUUAUUUUCUAUAAUAUAUACUCUGAGAAGCAAUAGACAUAAAAGUAAGAACAAAUAAUGUGUUGAAAGGUCCACUUAUCACUUGUGUGAUUAACGUUCAGAAAAAAACGAAACAUGACCACGUGGUUUCUGAAAAUAAAGAGAAUUACGAUUAGACAAACAAUUUUCAUUUCAUGUUGGGAUAAGACACAAGUAUCCCCUAGACUAUGACCGAAAUUCCAAAGACACAACUUAACUAAUUUAAGGUCCUAUUACCCCCUAAACGCAUUUUUUGUAUAAUUUUAUACACCUUUUGGCUUACGUGGCACACUCCGUGACUCCACCGAGUUUGCUCGAUUCCGAGUUCGUAUGAGUGAGUUGUGCCCUUUGGAAGUUGGGCUGUUAGCAUAGGAAAGUUCACCCGAAUUUGUAAGGGUAUUUUGGUCUUUUCCCUAACCAUUUCUUUUGGAUAUAUUAAGGGUCCCAACUGAUUUUAAAUCAGUAUUUCCUUUUUAAAAGUGAGUGUUAGGGUUGUGAGUGAAGAGAGAAAGAAGAGGAGAAAGAGAAGGAAGCUAAGUUCGUCGAGAUCGUCGUGGAUUUCGUCGGGGUGAUCCCUAUUAAGGUAUGUGAGAUCAUAGUGUUGGGUUGGUUCAUUCCCCCACACGCCAAACUCGUUUUACUUUUCGAGAAAAAGAUUGGUUGUGUUUGUUGAAUUCUUGUGGUUGUGUUGAAGUUUCUUGUUGAUUUGGUACAUGUUUCCGGAUGGAAUUCCGAGUUGAAUCUAUUGUAUAUUAAGGGUUUUAAUGAUCCCAAGUGUUUGGGGAAAGAACCUUUGAAGUUAAGAGGGUUUAGAGUUGGAAAAAUGAAGGAGAAGAGUCGGGCAGCUUCCAUGAAACCAGUCCGCGUCACGGACUUGUUCCCUCUGUGAACAAAAAUCUGCUCCGCGUCGCGGACAGGAUGCGGACUCCACUGUUUCAAAAAUUUAUUUUCGUAACUCUUCUUAAGUUUAGCUGUCCUAAAUCAUUCCUAAACAUCAAGAGACCUUUCCUAUCACAAUCAUGAACCUUGAAUCCAUAAUCCAAUUCAAGGAAAAGGUUAGGAUCAAAGUCAAGUGAAGUUAUGAAGCAAGUCAAAGUAAGUUUUUAAAGUUUUCUUCAAGAGACUUUACUAAACGUCUAAACUUCGUUUUAAGACUCAAGUUUCAAGCAAAGUAAAGAGUAUAUGAGUUCUUUUUCUCAAGAGUUACUAGGGAACUACGUAUUCCCCAAAGAAGUUUAUAAAUGUUUUUACAUUUGAGUAAGAAAGGAACUAUGUUUUCCAAGAGAGCCUUUGGGCUAAGCUUUGAGUAAUUAUCUCAAAAUAAAGAAAGAUUUGUUUAAAACACUUAUGAGCUAAAGUAUNNNNNNNNNNNNNNNNNNNNNNNNNNNNNNNNNNNNNNNNNNNNNNNNNNNNNNNNNNNNNNNNNNNNNNNNNNNNNNNNNNNNNNNNNNNNNNNNNNNNNNNNNNNNNNNNNNNNNNNNNNNNNNNNNNNNNNNNNNNNNNNNNNNNNNNNNNNNNNNNNNNNNNNNNNNNNNNNNNNNNNNNNNNNNNNNNNNNNNNNNNNNNNNNNNNNNNNNNNNNNNNNNNNNNNNNNNNNNNNNNNNNNNNNNNNNNNNNNNNNNNNNNNNNNNUAUAUAUUGAGUUCAGUUAUUCAUGAGUUGAACAGAGCCAAGGUAAGAGUUCCUUUGUACUCCUUUCAAGCUUAAGUUGUUGUUUAGCUUUCUAGCUCACAUACUCGUAUAUUCCAUGUACUGAUGCCAGUUGGCCUGCAUCGUUUUAUGAUGCAGACGCAGGUACCCAGGAUCAACAUCCAGCACGCCGUUGAUCCAGCUGAGCACUCCAGAGUCAGUGGUGAGCCUCCUUGCCUUCCGGAGGACUCUGUUCUUUUAUGUUCCUAGUUUUGCUUUAUUAGGAUGUUGUGGGGUCUAUCCUAACAUCCAUCUCAGUGUUUUAGAGGCUUCAUAGACAGUCAGUCAGUUAGUAUUGAGUCUCUCAACUAUUUAUAUAUAUAAAUAUUCUAUUUUGAGACACGAGUUGCCUUUUGGCCAGUUUUUAUCAGUUGGGUUGUUUUAUGACCUUUCAUUGCAUUAAGUUAUUCUAUUGAGUUAGGUUUCCGCUGAGUUAAGAAAGCCAGGCCAAGGGUUCGCUUGGGGCUAGCAAUGGUCUUCGAGUGCUAGUCCCGCCCAGGGUGUAGGCUCGGGGCGUGACAGAAUCUCAACGAAUCGUAGCAACAAAAGAUACAUAGACUUUAAUUUAUUAGCUAAAGGAAUAUUGUUCGUACCUCAUGGAACAAUCUAGGGGUGUACAAAAUCGAACCGAAAACCGAAUCCAACCUCAAAUCGAGUCAAACCGAAAAAAAACCCCAUUAGUGUUUUGGUUUGACUUGGUUUGGUAUUGAAAAAAAUAACCCAACUUUAUUUGGGUUGGUUUGGUUUUAACUAAAAAGAACCAACCCAAGACCAAACCAACCCGACAUUAUAUAUAUAAUUUUAAAAUUUUAUUUUAUACAUAAAAAUAUUUACUUUGAUAUCAUUUUUAAAUAUUUCUUAUACUCUUUUAAUAUAUUAUUUCAAGUUUGAAACUUAGAAUUCUGAAUGAUUCAAUAAAGAUUAUAGUCCACAGAUGUUGGUAAUUAUAAUAAAGGUUAAAUCAAAAUCAAAUUAAUACUAAUGCAAAAAGAAAAUCAAUUCAACACUAAGAAUGACAAUAUAUAAUAUUGAAUAUUUAUUCUUUAGUUUUACGUUGGUUUAGACAAUUAAAAUACAUAAUCUAAUUUUAAUUUCCUUUAAUAUUUAGUCAUGUAACUAAUACUUAUUUUAACAUGAUUUAGUACUUUUAAAUUAUGAUCAUUUUCACCAUGACUUGUUAAUUUGCAAUAUUUGUUUUACGCAAUUUUAUUAUUACGUAUAUUUUUUUUGUUGGAUAUUUUAGUGUCAUUAAUCAUAUCAUAUUUUGUGUUAUUUUUUAAGAAACACCUUAGAUAGUUGUAUUUUAGUAGGACUAAAUAAAUAUUUGAAGUACAAGUAAAUUUUAUGUUUGUAUGAAUACUUUACCGAAAAAACCCGAGGUUGAAAAACCCGAGUUUUAUUGGUUUGGUUUGGUUUUAUAAAUUUAAAAAUCCGAUACAAAUGGUUUGGUUUGAUAUUUGAAAAACCCGAACCAACCCGGCUAUGUACACCCCUAGAACAAUAUUCAACAAAUUCGAGUUGACCUCCAAUACUACCAUCACAAGUAGUCAUCAAAUAUCCUCUUGCAAGCCUAACACAAGUAUCACAAUCUGAAUAUUGUACAUUUGAACCACAAGUAACAUGACCAUAAGCUAAAGCAUCAUCAUUAGGAUAAGGAGAUGUUAUGUAAUAAUCAUAACCUUGUUUUGGUGUCUCAUUACUUAAUUCUAUAAGAACAUAUAUAAGACAAACUAUCUGAAAAUGGACCAUUUUUGUCAUACAUUUCACCGUUGCAUGUAUGGUACCCAAUAAUUUAGACUCUGGAAAUUCACUUCUCACAAAAUAAUUAAAGUAACCCAUGACUAAAAUUAUAAUUAGGAAUGUGGUUAACACUCUAAUUCUCAAAAUUGAACUCAUAGAUAUAUGUAUAUAUUUUCUAUUACAUUUGUGUUACAAAUAAUUGAGUUUAGUACUUUAAUGUCCUUUUUUGUUUAAAUAGAUUUAUCCAUCCUUUGAUUUCUCCACCAAUGAAAAUUAAGUAUUCCAUAAUUUAUAUUUUAUAAAUUAUGUAUGUUGCCGGCAAAUAAACCAUUACUAUUUCUUUGCUUUGAUAUUAUAAAUCAUAAUGCUUGGUAUAAUUCUUGCAAAGAGAGGAAUAUUCAUCAUACAAAGAAAGAUCCAUUAAAAGCAAUUGAUGAUUAAUAAUACUGAUCAUGCAAUGUUAUUAUUAUUAUUGAAUUAUUUGGAUUUCUACUCAUAUAGAAUUAUUGGGUUUUAAAAUUAACAAUUUAUAUGUAUUAUAUAGGAUUUAGAUCAAAGCAACUGAAUUCAGCUGAAUCAAUAACUGAAAAACUAGCUCCACCCUUACUAGUUGCUUCAGGUACUCUAUAGUGAUUAUUGUGCAUUUGUUUUACAAUUUGAUUGUUUUUGUUAUUUAGUUUCGAUCAUUUGAUUUUCGAUUUUCAAACAUGAUUGCUCAACGUGAUUAUUGUUCCCUUCGUCCUAAUUUAUAUGAAAGUAUAAAUUAUAGUUUGACUCUAAAAAAGGAAAUCAUGACAAUUAAAAGUGAACGGAGGGAGUAGUAUAUAUUAUCUUCCUUCUUUUUUUUUGUUAAAGUUGUUAUAAAAACUCGUUCAUGGGUUAUGUUUGGAUGGUUAAAUUUCGAAUCCAAAGUUAAAAAAAACAUCACUUUUUCCCUUCAAAAUACAUAAAGGGCCAUUCAAAUUUUAGUUUAAUCAAAAAGGGACACUUCGCUAGAGAAGGAGCGAGAUAUGUUGGUGCUAUAACUACCGUUAACGAAAUAAAAAAAUUGAUCAUCUCGCUAACUUAUGAGCAAUUUUCCUCUUUUAUUUUAUCUUUUUUCUCGCUACUUAUGAGUGAUUUGCUCUCUAUUUUUUUCCCCCAAAUAUCGUUCUACACUAAGCGAAUUUGUAAGUUUUUUUUUUUGUUAUUCUCGUUGCACACUGAGCGAGUUCUCAACUUCUUUUAUUAUAUGCCCUCAUAGUAACCCCAUCAUUAAUUUUUAUUUAGAUAACGAUAAAAACUUUCUAAUAAAAUAGAAAACAUUUUUAUUUCUUAAUAUUUUUUAUAAAUUGAAGUAGGAUAAACAUUUUUCCAAUGAAAAAAUCAUUAUUAGAAAAAGAAUGUGUUUUAAAAAAAACAGAAAUAAUAUAUCAUUUUUGACCUAUUAAGUACAACAAUAAGUGCAUUUUUAGACCAAACUAGUGAAGACAAUCAUAUUUUUUUAACCCCUUUUCUGUUAACUAGUUUUACGGAACGUGCGUUGCACGUUUAACUCAAAGUACAUAAUACAAAUCUUAUAUUGCAAAUGAUAUAGUUAAAUAAUAUAUAUUUUAUUUCACUUUUUCAGUACAAUAAAAUAAAAAUCAAAACAUAUAAAAAAAGUAACAACUCAUAAGUUAAAGGCUAAAAAAUCUUACAAACAUGAUACAUAUUUUAGUGACAUAUAACACCUUAAUUUAAAUACUCAUUGAAUAGACAAUAAGAAAUAAACUGAUGCGCAUAUAUUGAAUCCCAUCAUGAUCAAUCCAAAUACACAAAAAUCUUAUAAAAUUUGCUUCGGCUCAACCACAUGUACAUUAAAAAGUAAGAAAGUAGAAAAGGGAGAUAAUUGUAUAUUAAUUAGUAUAGCGACAUAAACCUAAAAAUAUGAUAACAUUAAGUUAUCAAUUAAUAUACUUUGUUAAUUAAGUACCUGAAACUAAAAUUAGUGGAGAAGAAGAAAUUAACUAAAUAAGAAGAGCUUGUGCAGACUGUAGUGAGAAAAAGAUCAUAACUCAUAAGCACAAAUAGAGAUCUUUAAUAAGAACAAUGAAAAUUGAAAUGCAAAUGAUGAAUCAGUUGGAAGGGAAUAGAAACUUAAGAGAUAUUUAUAUAUUAAUAUAUGUGAAGACUCCUUCAAAACUUUCAAUAUUAUAUUAUUAAUAUUUGGGAGUUAAUAGACUUAUUUAAUAGUGUUUUAUAAUUAGUUCAUGUAAUUAGAGGAAGAUGAAAAAACUUUCUUGAAAGUAACAAUUUUUUAUUUUUAUAUUUGGUGGAGAAACUGUCUUCUCCUUUAUUUGAGUAAAUAAAUAGGUGAGCAUUUAAGCAGUUUUCAGUUUUUUCCCCUUCAUUACACAUAUAUGUUAGUAAUUUAAUUAGGUGUUUAUGCUUUCUAAUCAUGGACAAAAAUGUUACUUCAUUUUACGUGAGAAUUACAAUAGUUUUUGUUUCUUCUUCUUCUUCACAUGUUUUUUUAGUCAUUUAAUAUGAAAUUUAUUUUUUCUAAUCAUGGAUAAAAAUGCUACUUAACUUUACAGAAUAUUUUCAUAAAUUAACUGUUCUCUCUUUUUUUUUCUUUUUUUUAAUAUAGCAAUUUAAUUUGAUAAUGACUUACGAAAUUGAGAAGUCUAUUAAACACAAAUGGACAUGAGACUCUUUAGCUUAUAAGGGGGAAAAAAACAGAUGUGUUAAAAUCCAUUCCAAUUCACAACUGAAGUCAUAACCAUCAUUUAAUAGAAUCUCAACUUUAAUGUCUAAAUACACUCAAGGUGCGUUAGUCCUGCAAAUUGGUCUAGUAAUAAGAUUAGGACAUUAAAUGUAUAUAAUAAUAAUAAUAAUAACAACAACAACAACAUGAUAAGAUUAUUAUUUAAUAUUUAAUAAAUUAGAUAUUUUAUAACAUUUUUAUUUAGAAAUAAGGGGAAGAUGGGGUAUAUGAUUAAUAGUAGAUCCCUUAAUAGUAUUAUUGUAGUAAUUCAACUUUAUAAGGUUAUUUUGGUAUUUCAACUUUCAACUUUUUUUGUUCUCACUUUUAGUAAUAUAAUAAUAAUAAUAAUAAUAAUAAUAUAUGAAUGAUAUGAUGAUGAUAUAUACAUUGUUUUAUCUAUCAUAACUUUUCAAAAUUUUCCAUUGAGAAUUAUGAUCAUGAUUUAAAACAAUAUCAAUGUACUCAUUUAUCAAGAAAAUAACAAUUUAAUUAUUAAAUGGCUUAAGGACUUAAAUUCUACCAUUAUGUAACUAAAUUAUUUGUAUUUAAUUAAAUAAUUAAUCCAAUUUUUAUUUAGUAAAAGGGCAAAAUGGUAAUUCAACUUUUCACUUUGAAGCUUCCCACUUAUAAUAAUAUAUGAUUAAAUCAUCACAAAAUCCCCCAAAUCAAGCAUUCAAAAACCAAAAAACAUUCAAAUAGGUUUCUAUUAUCAAAUAAAACCUUGCAUAUGGUUGUAAAGAUCCACCCAAUUUAAUUUCUCUUCAACAUAUUUCAUUCUCUCUGGAAUCUCCUUCAGCUUUGAACAGUGACCGAUAGCAAGUCUUUUAAUGAGAGGCAUGGCACUUGUGGCUAAAUGGCACAUUAUUUCUUUUCCAUUAUAAGCCUCUUCUAAUAUGAGAUCUCUUAGAUUUGGCAACAUUCCCAAAGUAGGCAUCGAAUCAUGGCAUCGAAUCUUCCAUGAGUUUUGACUUCCAAAGAACCAUCAUAGUGAUGGAAUUUGGAAACAGAGGCAGUUUCUCUAUUCUCCCUUUUAACAACAAUUUCUGGACCUUUUGACAAGAACUAAGAAAUUCAAGGGAUGAGAAUGAUUUAUCCAAUUUACAAAACAAUCUGAGACUACUAAGGUUUUUCAAGCUGCUAAUGUUGUUCAGGGAGUAAGAUUUGGUAAUUCGAUGCAUGCUUAAUUCUCGAAGAUUGACUAAAUCAACAGGGUCAACAUCUUUCCACUGAUCACAACGAACGUCUUUAAGAACUUCCAAACUAAUGAGUUUGCUUAUACGUUUCAGAGGUUUUGAAUAUGAAGCAACUAAAUGUCUUAGAUUUAUCAGGUGGGUAGUUCGCAAGAGUAUUCCCCCUCAUUGACAACAAGUGUCUGUAGAUUCUUCAGGUUGCCAAUGGAAGAGGGAACAUCACGGAUACCUCUCAAUAUUAGCAACUUAAGGUGGUACAAACUUCCAAUGGCAUCAGGUAUUAUAGACACAGCACGCAUAUCCAAGUACAACACAUAGAGAUGUUGGAACACACUACUGAACUUCAUAAGACUCAUAUUAUGAAAAUCUGGAUCAGAGAACAUAAUUGACCUCAACUUCAAGUUAGAAAGAUCAAGUGAGAGGUACCUUUCUCCUUCACUAUGAAUGACAUGUCUGAUACAUAAGGAGGAUAUCGAGUGCUUUCUUGGAUCAUAAAAGUCAAAGAAGUUUACCUCCAAUGCCUUUUGUAUCGCAAGAUCACGGAGUAAAUCAUGAACCCUACAGUCAGUAACUUUUUCCCAAAGUGUUUUAGCCACUUGAACCAAGCUUCGUCUUAUCAGCUCAUUCAAGAAGCCUUCAGCGACAUCCUCCAUCCACAACCGUAUUAUGUUAUCAGCCUCAAGCACUUGAUCUUCUGGAAAAAUACCAAAGUAGAGAAAACACUGCUUGAGCGCAGUUGACAAAUCAUUGUAGCUUAAUGAUAGUAUGUUAGAUAUUUCAAUAAAUUUAUCUUCUUUAAUGUUCUUCCACCUUUUGCCAUUCGUUUAGCCCCUUUUUAUGCGAAAGUAGUCCGCUCAAUACAACAAUUGCAAGAGGUAAGCCUCUACACUUUUCCACCAUAUCCUUAGCUAGACUUUCCAUUUCUGGAACCAUUGCUCCAACAUCAAGCAGUUUCCUACAAAAGAGAUCCCAACUUUCUUCUUGACUUAGGAAACGAAGUUUAUGAACAAAACNNNNNNNNNNNNNNNNNNNNNNNNNNNNNNNNNNNNNNNNNNNNNNNNNNNNNNNNNNNNNNNNNNNNNNNNNNNNNNNNNNNNNNNNNNNNNNNNNNNNNNNNNNNNNNNNNNNNNNNNNUAAGAAGAUCCAUUGUGUUGUACUCUUGAGAAACACAUAUCCAAGAGCGUGUAGGGAAACUAGAGGCUAUAUUAGGACUGGUGUAAAGUUUUCUCGCAAGAGUGGUCUUGCCUAAACCCCCCAUUCCAUAAAUGGAGAGGACGCUUCGACGAGGCUCUGCUUUGAGAAGUUCAGCUAGCAAGUUUUGUACAACAUCCUGAAAGCCAACAAAAAUGUAAUCGUGGUCAUCCACAUAUGAGGUAGUUCUCCUCAAUGUUGCAACCUGAUUACUUGGCCCUUCUCCAGCAUUACUAUUGAUAUUUGUAAUACCAUAAGUCUCUCGUUUGCGAGAGAUAUCCAUGAUUCGUUUCUUGAGUGAUUUGAUCUCCUUGGCGACAUUGUAGAAUUUCUUCUCCUUCCUACAUAUGCAAGCACAAGCCUUGAGAUAACUAGCACGUUUACCAGCCUCAAAGCUGUAAGUUUCGAGUAUAGCAACAGCGUCAUUAGCAAUAGAGUUGAUCUCAAACACCCAUUGUACAACUCUAUGAUCCGCACAUUGCUUUAGUUCUGCAUCUUUGAGGAAAGGUUGUAUGAAGAGUAGCUCAUUUCUCAGCCAUGUAAUUUCAUCUCUGAGACUUGUAAGCAGGGAAACUUGUUGACUGAGGAAAUCGCCCAAUUUUCGUAGUGCAAAUGACAGAAAGGCAUCAGCCAUCUUCAGGAGUGUUGAUUUUUAUUUAGAAAAGAGGGGGCUGUAGGCUGUAUAUAUACAAAUAAAGUUUAAGUCAAGAAUUGAUAUAAGGCCAAAAAUGGACGAUCAAUACGAAAGCAAGACAUGAAUUAUUUGCCGGCAUAUGCAUUGGUUAAAACACUAUGUGGCUGUGUUUGAUACUCAUCAAUGUCAUAUCAUGAUAACAAGUUAAGACAAUUCAAAUUGAAUUAUCACCUGAAAUUAAAUUUAUCUUUUGUAGUAACAUAAUCAGUAAUCACAUAUAGUUCCCUGAUAGUACAUAUAUUUUUUUUAAAUACAAUUUCCUUAGUAAAAAUCAUAGCACUCAUAGUGCAUAUAAUUUUUUCUUAAAAAUUAUCAUUAUAAGUAAAAAUAAAAUAAAAUGGGACCCCAAAAAUAUGGGCCCCAAGUAAUGGAUUUAGUGGCCUAGGGGUUAAGACGGCCCUGGUUGUGGUAAAUGACAGUUAGUGGUAUUAAAUACUUCUAGUAAUUCUAUUUUAUCAUUUACCGUAACUUUAUUAUAAUAGCUUUAUCACGCAACCUAUUUUAUUAUAAUACGAUAAAGAGGUUGUUUUCGAAAGACCCUUGGCUCAAGAAAAAGAUUUUGAAAGAAAUGCAAGAGCCAAAAAAGUUGCUAUGAAAAUAUGGAUUCCUCUGAAUAUUUAGUGAAGUCUGAAUUCUGAUACCAUGACGGUUUCUGAAGAAACCAGAAACUUCUCUAACAGACUAGUAAUUUGAUGAAGAAUAUUUAGUGAAAACUAAAAACAAGUAGCACCAAAAGCAUGGAAUAUUUAAUUUGCAUUGAUGGAGAAAUCAAGUUCUUGAGUUUUGUAAAAUAGACAAACACUGACUCUGUACCUUGCUGCAGAGUUGCAAUCUCCUUAUUUAGACUGAAGGUUCUUGAUCCGUCCAAGGGUCUUUCGAAAACAAUCUCUUUGUAAAAUAGACAGACACUGACUCUGAAUUCUGAUACCAUGACGGUUUCUGAAGAAACCAGAAACUUUUCAAACAGACUAGUAAUUUGAUGAAGAAGAUAGCUUCAUUUACUUGAUGAGUAACAAUCAGAUGUGAGUAGUCUAUUUAUACUACUCAAUAAGCUACUCAAUACAAGUUGUUGUUAGUAACUAACUGUCACUAUCUAUAACUAACUUAGUAACUAAUUAAUUAACACUCUUUUCUAACUGUUUUCUGGAAGUAGUCUGACAGAUUUCUUUGUUUGAGUUCUAUCAACAUGGUGCUAGAUAGUUAAAACAAAAACAACCAACAUUAUAGUAGAUCAAGCUAUAAUUAAUUUGAUUUAUGAAAAAACAUAGAACCAAUAGAGAAAAACAAUUGAGAAAGAUUGAACAACAGAGUCUUGCGUCUUAAGUGAAGAACUAAUCAUAAACUUAAAAGAAAGAAUUUCACUGAGAAAACGAUUUGGGUGGGGGAGAGGUGGGGGAAGACGAUUUCACAUGUCUUUAUUUAAUUCGUCACUUUGACGUGUCAUCAGCGAGUGUGUUACACACACCUUACACAUUUGGCUGAUUGUUAAAAAAGUGUCAAAAAGACAUAACGGGGCAUAACAUGAGGUGUCUAAAAUGAACAAAUUCUAGUUAAAGUGUCUAAGUGAAAACUUGUGCCAACUUUAGGUGGCCACCGAUGGAUUAGGCCAAUGAUAGUUAGGUACGAGCAUUACUCAUUCAGCUAAUAAACUAGAGCCUACUCUUGUUGCCCCGAUCCACAGAGAUUUAGUCAUUUGGCACUCUGAUUGUCUUACGAGGAGAUCCAUCUGUUGAUUUUUGGUGUGACCCUAAUUUCUAUUUCGUUCAUGUUUUUUUUGUCUUUCCAUUGUUUUGUUGUUGUAAUGUGAUUUCUUAUGUUUGUUAAAGUUGCAAGAAUUUUCAGGUUUAUGUCAGAAGAUUCAGUACUACUACUCACUACUAGUUAUCUAAUUUAAGUUAAACAAAGAGGAACUUGAAAAUAUUAGUUUAGAACAAAGUAACUUAAAAGAGACUAAAAUACUAAGUGUAAAUUACAAGAGAGAAAUGAAAACAUAUAGCCUUUGGUAGCCAAAAUCCAAAGUUGCAUUGUCUCUCCUCUGAUGGAUUAUUUUCCCUCUUCAAACUUCGAUGAGUUAGGGAUGACCUCUGAUAUAGCCUUUGGUAGCCAAAAUCCAGGUCGUUCGAUAGAGGCUGCACGAUCAAGUACCAAUGGAUCCCGCAAUGUGAUCUGAAUGCCAUCAUAUGUCCACAACUCUAGCUAAGCCAGCAACCGCAACAUCCAUGUUCUUGACAUUCCAGCUCGUUCCACGUGCUUUUACUUCCUGCUUUGGCCAUUGUCCUAAUUUAGAAACUCGCUCCAUAGAAAUCAGAGGCGGAAGAUAAGAAAAAAAAAAAAAGGAACAAUUAGAGGAUUUUAUUUACACAUACGGCACUAUGACAUCUGCUAUUGGCUAACUUGCAACAUGUUGUUAGUUGUUAACUUGUUUUUGCAACUACGACUUCUCUUUAGCAAAGAAUACUAUCUCACCUUUCAUUGUACUUCUCUCAAAUCUAUAUGUUGAUAUUCAACAAAAAACAUAAUACUCAUGUAGUUCAAGUGGAAUUGGCUAUAAAGUAGGAAAUAUUAUUGAAUCAGAAAUAGUGCAGGAAUUGGAGUAUAACCUGCAAUCUCACUCCAGCAUGGUUUUCUGUCUUUACUAGAUGAAGAGACACACUAGGUGAUGCCCAGACAGUGAUGUAGAUUGUUUCAACUGAGGCUUGAACUAGAUCCAGUCUAACUAUAUGUACAGUCUGCCCAUGCUGCAAGAAAAUGGUGAAAAUUGCAUUUUAGAGUCGAAAAGUCAUUUUUGCAGCCUUACCCUGCAUUUAAGGAAGAGGCUGUUUUCACAACUCGAACCCAUGACCUCCUAGUCACAUGGAAGCAACUUUAUAGUUACGUCAAAGCUCCCCUUCAGUAGACAAGUAAGAAAAGAUGUCCUCCAGUGGAAAAGGAAAACCAAAUAUAUCAGUCCCUCCCUUAACCAAUUGAGACUUGAUCUGGUUAAAUAUUAUGAAAAUAUUUUCUUUUCUCUUCAAGUGACAAUUUCUUCUCCUGUUUCCCCCAAAUAUUAUUUAACACGUACGCUAUUUAUAAAAUAAAAAUGAACAAAGUUAUGUAUAGGUACCUUUGCUAUUACCGAAGAAAACUUGCCAUAUGCUUGCCAAGAUCCAUCUCAUUUAAUUUCUCUUCAACAUCUUUCAUUCUCUCUGGAGUCUCCUUCAGCUCUGAACAGUGAUGGAUACCAAGACCUUUAAUGAGAGGCAUUGCACUUGUGCCUAAAUGCCAUCUUUCUAGGUUCCGAAGUUUUAUAAGAUGAAGGAACUCGAGUUGACUGAAGCUGUUAUCACUGCACAUUAUUUCUUUUCCUUCAUAAGCAUCUUCUAAUAUGAGAUUCCUUAGGUUUGGCAACAUUCCCAAAGUAGGCAUCGGAUCUUCCAUGAAUUUUGACUUCCUAAGAACCAUCAUUGUGAUGGAAUUUGGAAACAGAGGCAGUUUCUCUAUUUUCCCAUGUAAGCACAAUUUCUGGAGCUUUUGACAAGAAUUAACAAAUUCCAGGGAUGGGAAUGAUUCAAAACGUUCACAAAACAAUCUGAGAGUGCUAAGGUUUUUCAAGAUGCUAAUGUUGUUUAAGGAGUAAGAUUUCUUAAUACGUUGCAUGCUUAAUUCUCCAAGAUUGACUAAAUCAACAGGGUCAACAUCUAUCCACUGAUCACAACAAACGCCUUGAAGAACUUGAAGACUAGUGAGUUUGCUUAUAAGUUUCAGAGGUUUUGAAUACGAAGCAACUAAAUGUCUUAGAUUUAUCAGGUCAGCUGUCACGCGGGGUAGUCUGCAAGAGUAUAGCCCCUCAUUGACAAUAAGUGUCUGUAGAUUCUUGAGGUUGCCAAUGGAAGAUGGAAGAUCAUGGAUACCUCUCAAUCUUAAGAACUUGAGGUGGUACAAACUUCCUAUGGCAUCAGGUACUGAUGCAGAAUGCCUAUUGUAAACAGGCAUAUCCAAGUACAACACAUAUAGAUGCUGGAAAACACUCCUGAAUUUUAUAAGACUCAUCUUAUGAAAAUCUGGAUCAAAGAACAUAAUUGACCUCAACUUUAAGUUAGAAAGAUCAAGUGAGAGGUACCUUACUCCUUGACUAUGAAUGCCAUGUCUGAUACAUAAAGAGGAUAUGGAGUGGUUCUUUGGAUCAUAAAUGUCAAAGAAGUUCACCUCCAAUGCCUUUUGUAUCACAAGAUCACGAAGUAAAUCAUGAACCCUACAAUGAGUAACUUUUUCCCAAAAUGUGUCUACCACUUGAACCAAGCUUCUUCUUAUCAGCUCAUUCAAGAAGCCUUCAGCCACAUCCUCCAUUCUUUCUUCUCCAUUUGGUACGAAACCCUCAGCCAUCCACAACCUUAUUAUGUUAUCAGCCUCGAGAACUUGAUCUUCUGGAAAAAUACCAAAGUACAGAAAACACUGCUUGAGCACAGUUGACAAAAUCAUUGUAGCUUAAGGAUAGAAUGCAGGAGAUUUCAAUAAAUUUAUCUUCAAUAAUGUUCUUCCAAAGUUGAUCUUUCACUUCUUGCCAUUUGUCCACCCCCCUCUAUGCGAAAGUAGUCCACUCAAUACAACAAUUGCAAGAGGUAAGCCUCUACACUUUUCCACCAUAUCCUUAGCUAGACUUUCCAUUGCUGGAACCAUUGCUCGAACAUCAAGUAGUUUCCUACAAAAGAGAUCCCAACUUUCUUCUUGGCUUAGGAAACGAAGUUUAUGGAUAAAACCUCUGUUGUCUGCUCUUUCAGCGACAUCCUCUUUGCGCGUGGUAAUAAUAACUCUGCUGCCAUUCUUGCUAUCCGGGAAUGCUCUUUUCAAACUUUCCCAUGCUUCUCUCUGCCAUACAUCAUCAACCACCACAAGGUAUUUGCGUUCUUUUAAUAGAUCACGAAGAUAAAUUUCUAGAUCUCCUUCUGUCAUCCUUUCCAACAAAUCUAGAGUUUCGUUGGUGCGCCCUUGGAUGGAUUUUAUGAUAUUCCUGAAAAGAUCCAUGGUGUUGUACUCUUGAGAAACACAUAUCCAAGAGCGUGUAGGGAAACUAGAGGCUAUAUUAGGAUUUUUGUAGAGGUUUCUUGCAAGAGUGGUCUUGCCUAAUCCGCCCAUUCCAUAAAUGGAGACGACGCUUCAACGAGGCGCUGCUUUGAGAAGUUCAGAUAGCAAUGUUUGUACAACAUCCUGAAGUCCAACAAAAAUGUAAUCCUGGUCAUCCACAUAUGAGGUAGUUCUCCUCAAUGUUCUGACCUGAUUACUUGGCCCUUCUCCAGCAUUACUAUUGAUAUUUGUAAUACCAUAAGUCUCUCGUUUGCGAGAGAUAUCUAUGAUUCGCUGCUUGAGUGAUUGAAUCUCCUCGGCGACAUUGUAGAAUUUCUUCUCCUUCCUGUAUAUGCAAGCGCAAGCCUUGAGACAACUAACACCUUUACCAGCCUCAAAGCUGUAAGUCUCGAGUAUAGCGACAGCAUCAUUAGCAAUAGUGUUGAUUUCAAGCACCCAUUGUUGAACUCUAUGAUCUACACAUUGCUUUAGUUCUGCAUCUUUGAGGAAAGACUGUAUGAAGCGUAACUCAUUUCUCAGCCAUGUAACUUCAUCUCUCAGACUUGUUAUCAGUGAAAUUUGUUGAAUGAGGAAAUCACCCAAUUUUUGAACUGCAAAUGACACAAAGGCAUCAGCCAUCUUUAUGGUUGAAAAAAAGAAGAGAUGACUAUUGGAAAUCAAUAUUUUUUGAAAAAAGGUAGUGUGUAUGGAAAUUAAUAUUGGAAGCAGUAGAUUGAGAGAUGAAUAAUAUUGUUAUGAUGGAAUAAAUUAUUGAGAGUUUGAUAAGUGAUGAAUAUUGUUAACAUGGAAUUCAGUAUUUAAAGCUUAAAAAAUCCGACAGAGGAAAAAGUCUAAAAGUAGAAAGAUGAUAGAGUUUGAGGUUGAUGGUAAAGAAAGAAAAGUAUAUAUUCUCUACUAACUGCAAGCCAAGAAUUUAAAAUUGCAUGACACAAGUUAUGCUCAGUGUAGUGGUGAAGCCAAAAGUUGCCAUUCAAGAUUUAGUAUAUAUGUAUGAAAAAUAAGUUUUAACUUUUGUAUAAUUUUUUAUAUACAUAGUAUAAUUUUUCGACGAAAAAUGUCUGAUUGAACACCCUAAGCUAUAUGUGGCUACGCCACUGCUUCAUUGGCACAAGUUGUGUGUUUAGACAAGAACUUAUGUCCCAAGGCACAAGUCCCCCAGAGCAAACAACAACAACAAGUAGGGUCUGGAGAGGGCAAAAUGUAUGCAGACCGUACCACUACCUCGUGGAGGUAAAGGUUGUUUCAAAAAGGCCCUCGGCAAUAAGUCCCCUGGGUCAAAUAUCACGAUAUUUCUGUACUUUAUACUUUACUUAAAAAGACAUAGUAUCAUAUUAGAUCAAAUUUUAUUAUUCAGAAGAGUUGGUUUAAUUGUUCCUCCACCUAAAUCACUUUUUGCUAAUUAAUUUCAUCUUUAAAUUAUAGAUACCUUUCUUUUCUUUUUAACUAUCCUUGUUAGGGGAAUCUAUAGGAAAAAAUAUGAUGAACAUGACUUCUCAAUUUGAAGAUGCGUUUUGUAACUUUGAAGAGAAGAAAUAAAAUAUUUGAAUUCAGUCUCGGAGGUUAUUCCAAAAAGAUUUUGUAAGAGCUUGAAGGUCAAUAUCUCAAAAUUGAUUUGCUGAAAAAGAAUUUUGUUUCGAAUUGGUGAUUUUUCAAAAGAACUGAUGAAACAUCGAUGAGACUAAUAAUAUAAAAUUUGAGAUUAUUUGGGUAACAUUUGAAUUAGCUUUAGACUGAAUUUUUAAUUAUAGUUCGUUGAAAUUCAAAAUUACCGUCGAAUUAUAUCAAAAAUCAUAUGAUAAUCAUAUAGUGACGGAUGCAUUAUAUGUAAAUUGUUUUUUAAGUUUGGUAUUUUAUUGUAGUUGUAUUGUUUUCGGUCUCCCACUCGGUGUCCGAUACCCGCUAGAGCUCGACUAUCUCGAAUUCGCGCCGUGUAGAGCCAUUUGAGGGGAAGCGCUCUCUAACAAGUAAAUUCCACAGUACUCUUUAAUAUAAUUUUAUUUUAUUUUUUACUAAUUAAUUCAAAGAAGUAGAAUACUCUAUGGUUAAUUUUUGCAUAAAAAUUAGGAAAAAAACAUCUCAGAAAGUUACUUAGUUAUAACAAGCAACAAACAGUUUUGUGAACUAAUAGCCCACCAAUAAGCUCUUUAACAUAAGUAAUUUAUGUAGGGAAACUUUCGCAUAUAGCCACUAAUUAUAAAAAUAGCUUAAUUAUGUAUAUUGCCACUAAAAAUAGCUUAAUUAUACAUAUUGCCACUAAAAAUAGCUUAAUUAUGCAUAUAGCCACUAAAAACAAGUUAUACCAAAAUCAUGGAAUAUUUAAGUUGCAUUGAUGGAGAGACCAAUAGAGAUGGACAAAUCUAUUUAAACAACAUGUGAAACUCAAAACAAAUAGAAGAUAGGAAGAUAUACAAUAAUAGAGAGGCUAGAUACAUAUGGAUUCAAUUUUGAAAAUGAAAAUUCUAACCACAUUCCUUAUAAUUGGAAUAUUUUUGUUUGAUAGUUUUGUGAGAAGUGAACCAAAUACCAAAGAGAUUAGCCAUAUUUGCAAUGGGAAUGUGUAUGAUAAGACUUAAGAGUGGCCCAUUUGCACUAAGUUUGGCUUAUGCUGUUGAAGCAUUACAAAAUGUGACACUAAAUCAAGGUUAUGAUUACUUCAUAACAUCUCCUUAUCCUAAUGAUGCUUUAGCUUAUGGCCAUGCUACUUAGCUUGCAACUCCAUUAUUGAAUUUUCAGAUUGUGGCCUUUGUCUAAGUAGUGCAAAAUCAUUCUUGUUGAGUAAUUGUGAUGGUAGCAUUGGAGGUCAAGUUGAAUUUGUUGAUUGCUCAAUGAGGUACGAACAAUACUCGUUCAGCUAAUAAACUAGAGCCUAAUCUUUUUGCCAUGAUCCACGAAGAUUCAGUCAUUUGUCACUCUGAUUGUCUUAUGAAGAGAUUCCUCAUUGAUUUUUGAUGUAUCCCUGAUUCCUAUCUCGUUUCGUUCAUCUUCGUUUCUUCCUUUUUCCGUUGUUUUGUUUAUUAGGAAAGGCAAGCACAAAAUAAAUGUGCACGACAGGGCAAUAGCGGAAGAAAAUCCAAGUAAAAAAUUUCCCUUCUAUUUGAACCAAGAGAAGACAAAAUAAUGCAAGAAAAACACUGUUUGGGGUCGCAAACAAAUCAAUCAAGCAAAUAAAAUAAAUACAAACACGAGACACCAUAUUUAACAUGGAAAACCUCUUCGGUGUGAAGAGUAAAAACCACAAGGCCAAAGCUCCACUAAAAUCAACAAGAGUUACAAAAGUGUUCUCCAAAAUGGUCACCAACAAAGUGUCAAACAAUGAGCAACACAACUACAAGAUAGCACCAAACACUAGAGAAAUAAAAGGAGCAAAAACACCAAAUAUGCAGCUACUGUUCACGAGCAAAAAUCUGGAGUUACAGGACUCCAAAACACCCUCUUUCAGUUCUCAAUCAAAGAUUAAGUUGGAAGGAACAAGCUGUACAAAAAGCAGCUCAAUCGGAUAAGAAACGAAGUUGGAAUCGCGAUUUGAAAUUGGCUGCAAGGGCUUGUGCGAAAAUCUGCACUCUCUCACUGUUGUCUCUAUAUGUCUACUCUCAAUCUCAUGUAAUUCUUCAAAAUAAGACCUAAAAAGAAAGUCUUACAUAUGCACCAUAAUAUUGGGCUUAUAGACAAAAGUGGGCUAAUCAAAUUUGAGCUAAAUUUAUCCACAUAGGAAGGGAAAAAGGCCCAAAACCCAACAUUGUUGUUGACUUGUUGUAUCUAUAUGUACUAGAUGGUGGGUGCCCGGGCGCGCACGGACCCAAUAUUUAUACAUCUCUGUGUGUAAAAAUUAUCUUGGAACGCAAAACAGAUGAGAUAGCAGCACCAAAACAAAUGGAUCUAAAUCAAUGAGCAUCAAAAGAACACCAGAGAACGGUAACAAAAAAAUUUAUGCUUUAUUUAGUAGUUAACAUGAACUACAUGCAGUAGGAUGAUAAACAUAGCAAAUAAAGAGGUCUAAAAUAUAUUGAAUAAAUUAAGAAUUUAAAAUGCAAUUAUAACAGUGCAACGAUGUUUGUUGAACAACAAACAUAGAAUCAAAGUUAGGAAACCUCUCAUUUUGAGAAAUUUAUAGAAUCUUUCUUAAAGUUCAGUUUUAAUAACAAAAUGGUUUAUCAAAAUUUUAUUGAUCAAGAUAUCAAAUCUCACCAUAGGAGCUAGGUCAUUCUCAUGUGAUAUUAUAAGAUUUUCAAUAGCUACAUAUUAAUUUAUCAGAAGCUCAACUAUCCAAAUGAAUUUUAAAAGAUGCAUUUCAUUUUUUACCGUUAAUUCUAUACUACCUUAAAAGCAUUAACUCCAAACUUGAAUGUUGAAUUACAAUAAUACCCCCAAUUAAAAAUACUCAAUUUAUUUAUUUAUUAAUUUAAAUAAGUUUAUUAUAUUGAAAGUAGAUACCUUUUCAAAUUAAAGGAUUGCGACUUUUUCAAUGAGUUGUGACUUUUUUUUUACGGGUUCUGACUUUUUCAAUGAGUUGUCACUUUUCCAAAGGGUUGUGAUUUUUUCGAAGGGCUGUGACUUUUCUAAAGGGUUGUGCCUUUUCUGAUGAGUUGUGCCUUUUUCAAAGGGUUGUGGCUUUGCUGAUAUGCAGUGACUUUUUUGAAAGGUUGUGACUUUUCGGAUAAGGCACAAUUAANNNNNNNNNNNNNNNNNNNNNNNNNNNNNNNNNNNNNNNNNNNNNNNNNNNNNNNNNNNNNNNNNNNNNNNNNNNNNNNNNNNNNNNNNNNNNNNNNNNNNNNNNNNNNNNNNNNNNNNNNNNNNNNNNNNNNNNNNNNNNNNNNNNNNNNNNNNNNNNNNNNNNNNNNNNNNNNNNNNNNNNNNNNNNNNNNNNNNNNNNNNNNNNNNNNNNNNNNNNNNNNNNNNNNNNNNNNNNNNNNNNNNNNNNNNNNNNNNNNNNNNNNNNNNNNNNNNNNNNNNNNNNNNNNNNNNNNNNNNNNNNNNNNNNNNNNNNNNNNNNNNNNNNNNNNNNNNNNNNNNNNNNNNNNNNNNNNNNNNNNNNNNNNNNNNNNNNNNNNNNNNNNNNNNNNNNNNNNNNNNNNNNNNNNNNNNNNNNNNNNNNNNNNNNNNNNNNNNNNNNNNNNNNNNNNNNNNNNNNNNNNNNNNNNNNNNNNNNNNNNNNNNNNNNNNNNNNNNNNNNNNNNNNNNNNNNNAAAAAAAAUAAUUAUUUUUUGAAAUAGCUAUAUGUGCCGUCCCGUUUAUCCCAUCCCGUUCCGUUCCGGUCCAUUCCGGUCCGUCCCGGUUCUAUCCCGGUAUAUAGUGGGACGGGACGGAACCGAGCCUCCAUCCCGGUAGUUCCGGUCCGGUUCAUCCCGGUACCGGUCAACAACCCGGUCAAACCGUCCCGUUCCGGUCCGGUUCCGGUUCGUUCCGGUCCGGUGGUCCCAUUCCGGUCCGGUGCCCAGCCUUAGGCACAAUUAACACCUAUUCAUACUACUAUUUGACAGUUAUAAAAAGAGGGGUUUCCUCGCACUUUUAAACUACAUUUUCUUUAAGUUCUCUACUCUUCUUUUUCUUAAAAAAUCUCAAGUGUUAUUUGCAAAAAUUGAUUAAGUUCAAAAUUCGAGGUACCUCAUAAGAAAAAGUUGGUGAAAAAAUUGUAGGAAUCAUUCAUCAAUUCACACUCGUAUUUUUUUCUUACCAUUUUCAUGAGUUCAGUGACGAAAAGUUGUGGGAGAGACAAAAUAUUAAACAGAUAUGAAAAAAGGCAUAUGAUUUGGGUAAGAUAUUUCUUCUUUGUUUUUUAUUUUCUAUUCUUUUCCCUCAAACGAAGGAGUUUCUUCCUAAUUUUUCUAAAACAAUGGGUAUCAACGUAGUCCAUUGAAUUAUUAGUUUUGAUAUUAAAUUCAUUAUUCAAAAAUAGAUUUUCACUUUUACUUAUAAUAUGAUAACAUAGUCAUGAUAAUAAUUAUUUUUAAUAGAUAUGUAUGUAAAAAUGAAAGGAGAAAGUAAAGUGUUGGUGGCAAGAGAUUUAAAUCAAAUGGAACACUAGAGUGAAUAUAGCAUGAACAUAUAUUUUUGUCUUCCUUCUUCAUUGACUAUGUAUUGUUCCAUAUAAUUUUUCUUUAUGUCACAAGAUGCACACUCCUUACUAGCUAUAUAAAAAUAGAUAAGAAAAUUGUGAUUGAUCAUUAAAUGAUCUUAUAUCAUAUUAAUGAUUCUAUAAAUAAUACUUUACAUUUUAUUCAUCUAUUGUUUUUUAUUAUUGAAAAUAUUAAAUAUUUAAUAUCAUGAUACAACUUCUAUAAGAUACUAAUACUUUCAUUAGACAACAACUAUAUGAUAUGUAUGCGGCAAAAAAAAGGAGAAGACUACAACUCCACAAAGAUAAGGUAGAAACUUAACGAAAUGAAAUAUUUUUCAUCAUAGGUGAUGUUAUUCAUGUAUUAAAAUUAAAUUAUUCUACUGAAGUAUAUAUAAUCAUCAUUCAUUAUAACAACCAAGUACACCUUUUUUGUAAAAUCACCUCUCUAUGAUAGUCUUACUCAAAUAUUAAUAGAGUAAUAAUAUUUUGUAAAAGAUAUGUUACAUAUAAAGAUAAAAUAUUGAAAUACUUAUGGUAAUCCUUAUUAGUGUCAUGCGCAUACUAAAGUACAAGUAUGAAUAUUUAAGACAAAAUCUGUACUUAAAUGGUGUACAUCAUUUAUGUUUAUAACCUCAAGAGGAAAGGGUAUUGGUGACAUUUUUUUAAUGAAUAUUUUUUUUCUAUUUUGUUGGUUAGAUUUGUUUACAAAAUUGAGUGAAGUAAUAAAUAAUAUUAUUAAAGAAAUGUCACUUUCUCCCAUAUUUAAACUUUGAAUGUAUUUUGAAAUGUUUUAAUGAUAACUAUAAACACAAAUGUUGAUACCCUAUUCUCACUCACUCUUCUACUAUGGUAGAAAUAGAAUGUAUAUAUUUUUUUUACUUUUGUGUUGCAAAUAAUUGAGUUUAGUUCUUUAAUGUCCUUUUGUUUAAAUAGUUGAAUUAUGAGCAAUUUUCUCUUUGGUUUUAUCUUUUUUCUCGUUGACUUAUGUGCGAUUUGCUCACUAUUUCUUUUUCCAAAAAUCUCUCCAUACUAAGCGAGUUUGAAAGUUUUUUUUUUUUUGUUAUUUUCGUUGUACACUGAGCGAGUUCUCAACUUCUUUUAUUAUAUGCCCUCAUAGUAACCCCGUCAUUAAUUGAAGUAGGAUAAACAUUUUCUAAUGAAGAAAAAUCAUUAUUAGGAAAAGAACGUGCUUUAAAAAAAAAAGAAGAGAGAAAUAAUAAACUUAAUUGGAAAAAAGACAGUUUUGACUUAUUAAGUAACAAUAACAACAUUUAUAGAUCAAACUAUUGAAGACAAUGAUAUUUUUGGAUCAAACUAUCCACUAAGAAUAUUUUUAUUCAUUUUACAUGAUUUAAGAAUAUUAUAAACCCUUUUUCCGUUAAUUAAAUCAUCACAAAAUCCAAAAAAAAAAAAAAAAAGUUGUUUUCCAACACAUGUUUCCACACACUAAGAAAAGCCAAAAACAGAAAGAAAUUAAACAUUGAAAAACGAAAACAUAAGAAAAAACAGCAACCUUGAUUGAUGGUUGGAGAAGGCAAGUUGAUGAAGUAAGAGCUUCUUCUCUGUUGAUUUAACACAAAUAUUAUUUAUUUAUAUUUAUAUAAAAGAGGAACAAAAAAAUACUACUAAAUUGUGGACAAGAGAGUAUUUUUAAUAUCAUUUUUUUAACAUAUAAAUAAAGCAUCGUCUUAAAUGUGGAUAAGCAAGAGAACAUACAGUAGACCAAUUAUGUUCAAACCAAUUACAAAGCUUAAAACAAUAAUAAAGAAAUGAAACACUAAAACCACUCAAUUAAUAACCAAUGUGCUUGGCAGAAAUGCCAUGCCCCCAUCAAUACCUCUACGAUUAUGAAGACAUCAUAUAUAUAUAUAUAUAUAUAUGCUUGAAAAGCUUCACCACAUAUAAUUCCUCUUCAACAGCUCCACGUCUUUCAUUCUCUCUGGAAUCUCCUUUAAAUUUGGACAGUCAUGGAUACCAAGACCUUUAAUCAGAGGCAUUGCACUUGUGCCUAAAUCCCAUCUUUCUAGCUUUGAAAGAUCAUAAAGAUGAAGGAACUCUAGUUGACUGAAGCUGUUAUCACUGCACAUUAUUUCUUUUCCUUCAUAAGCUCCAACCAAAUGGAGAUUCCUUAGGUUUGGCAACAUUCCCAAAAUAGGCAUCGGAUCUUCCGUCAGUUUUGAGUUCUCAAGAAGCAUCAUUGUGAUGGAAUUUGGAAACAGAGGCAGUUUCCCUAUUCUCCCUUCUAACCUCAAUUUCUGGAGCUUUUCACAACAAUUAACAAAUUCAAGAGAUGGGAAUGAUUCAGUUUCUCCACAAAUCAAUUUGAGAGUGCUAAGGUUUUUCAAGCUGCUAAUGUUGUUUAGGGAGUAAGUUUUGCUAGUAUGAAACAUGCUUAAUUCUCGAAGAUUGACUAAAUCAACAGGAUCAACAUCUUUCCAUUGAUCACAACAAACUCUUUCAAGAACUUGAAGACUAGUGAGUUUGCUUAUAUGUGCCAGAGGUUUUGAAUACCAAACAACUAAAUGUCUUAGAUUUAUCAGGUUAGCUGUCUCGCGGGGUAGUUUGCAGGAGUAGUAUCCCCCCUCAUUGACAACAAGUGUCUGUAGAUUCUUGAGGUUGCCAAUGGAAGAUGGAAGAUCACGGUUAGCUCUCAAGCUUAAGAACUUAAGGUGGUACAAACUUCCUAUGGCAUCAGGUAUAGCACCACAGCCUUUAAUAUGCAAGUACAACACAUAUAUAUGUCGAAACACAUCUAUAUGUUGGAACACAUUACGAAAAUCCUGAUUGAAGAACAUAAUUGACCUCAACUUCAAAUUAGAAAGAUCAAGUAAGUGAUACAUUUCUCCUUGACCAUGAAAGGCAAGUCUGAUACAUGAAGAGGAUUUGGAGUGCUUUCUUGGAUGAUAAAUGUCAAAGAGGUUUGUGUCGGAUGCCUUUUGUAUGGCAAGAUCACGGAGUAAAUCAUGAACCCUACAUUCAGUAACUUUUUCCCAAAACGUAUUAGCCACUUGAACCAAGCUUCGUCUUAUCAGCUCAUUCAAGAAGCCUUCAGCCACAUCCUCCAUUCUUUCUUCUCCAUUUGGUAUGAAACCCUCGGCCAUCCACAACAGUAUUAUCUUUUCAGCAUCGACCUCUUGAUCUUCUGGAAAAAUACCAAAGUACAGAAAACACUGCUUGAGCACAGUUGACAAAAUCAUUGUAGCUUAAGGAUAGAAUGCAGGAGAUUUCAAUAAAUUUAUCUUCAAUAAUGUUCUUCCAAAGUUGAUCUUUCACUUCUUGCCAUUUGUCCACCCCCCCUCUAUGCGAAAGUAGUCCACUCAAUACAACAAUUGCAAGAGGUAAGCCUCUACACUUUUCCACCAUAUCCUUAGCUAGACUUUCCAUUGCUGGAACCAUUGCUCGAACAUCAAGUAGUUUCCUACAAAAGAGAUCCCAACUUUCUUCUUGGCUUAGGAAACGAAGUUCAUGGCCAAAACCUCUGUCGUCUGCUCUUUCAGCGACAUCCACUUUGCGCGUGGUAAUAAUAACUCUGCUGCCAUUCUUGCUAUCCGGGAAUGCUCUUUUCAAACUUUCCCAUGCUUCUCUCUGCCAUACAUCAUCAACCACCACAAGGUAUUUGUGUUCUUUCAAUAGAUCACGAAGGUGAACUUCUAGAUCUCCUUCUGUCAUAGUUUCUAACAAUCCUAGAGUUCCCUUGGUGCGACCUUGGAUGGAUUUUAUGAUAGUCUUAAGAAGAUCCAUUAUGUUGUACUCUUGAGAAACACAUAUCCAAGCGCGUGUAGGGAAGCUUGAGAUUAUAUUAGGACUGGUGUAGAGGUUUCUUGCAAGAGUGGUCUUGCCUAAUCCGCCCAUGCCAUAAAUGGAGAGGACGCUUCGACGAGGCUCUGCUUUGAGAAGUUGAGCUAGCAAUGUUUGUACAACAUCCUGAAGUCCAACAAAAAUGUAAUCCUGGUCAUCCACAUA